CUCUUCCGCCCUGACUUAGCACCUGAUGCCUCCGGGCCGCCGUAGGCGAAGGUUCGUGAAAGUGGCCGGUGGCUUACGCCUGUGCUCUUUCCGGACUUGAAGAGCAGUGGGACUGAGGAGGGCAGAGGGGCGUGGGCUUGGCUGCGGCAGGAGUGGCAGUUCUCUAAGUCCUUUAAGCAUGCAUUGGAUCUGACUCAGGAGUUGGGAUGUGUUGUUGUGGAUCCUACAGUGAGCCUGGGGAUGGUGAAGACACAGCCAAGCAGAACUGCCACGAACCUAGACUAUCAAGAGACAGCUUGCCUUGCUGAAUGUUCUUCUAACUACCUGGGGGAUUCAGAGAACAAGGCCCCCAAGGAAGUUUCCAGAUGGUAAAGAGCUGCAGAAAAUAAUGAAAGAAAAGUGAGAGCUAUGAACAAUAAGAAAUGUUUUGCCACUUCUCCUUCAACUCCACCCUUGGACACUGAUUUGGCUUUGGCCAGCAGAAGGGAAUUAGGAAGUGAAUCUGCGGGUGUAAACAAGUUGACAGUAGAAAGGCCAUUUCUUCUCAACUCCUCUAAAUAAUGUGGGGCAGCGGAGCUCAGGAACAUGACUUUGAAGUGUUUCCAAAUAUCCACUCUGCCUACGUGUUUGUGUGUCUGAUCAGGACAACAUAAGGAGGGGUGUGUGUCUGAGGGAGGGGACAGCUGUGUCUCAUGUCCUGGCGGCCCAGGGUGUGGAGAUUCCAGCACCAUAUCCAGGUUUACCGCCUCCUGCAGGAGAAUUGAGCUCCUCUGCCCAAAUAUGUUGUGACUUUAAGAUUAUUCAAUUAAAAAAAUUUCGAGAUUUAAGAAGAUGCCAGAUGAUCUGGAUAAAAUUAAAAUACUUUACUUGAACCAUGAUUUGGAAAUGCUAACCAGGAGGGCAAAUUGAGGAAAUCAGUCUGUGUUACUCCCCAGCGUCCUCUAGGUGGUGCUGCUGUGACAGUUAUGCGCUGGAAAUUUGUUAGCACUUAACUCUUAAACCAAAUAUUUAACUUAUUAUAUGUCUUAUCCUUCUGGUUAAUUGAUAAUAUGAUACUAUUGAUAAUUUAUACUGUCACAUUUACAUUAGAGUCUCCUAAGGAUGAGCCCAUAAUCAUAAAUUACACAACAGAGCAGUUUCAAAGGUCAGAAUACAUGUACUUCUCUGGUUAGUAUUUAAUAACGUUAAAGAGUUUCAUGUGUAGCACCCAUAAAAACAGACUCUAUCAUUAGUUCUUCCUUGUGUCAGGCAGUGUAUGCCGUAGGUGCCAAAUUAAAUCUUAUCAAAGGAAUUGAUUUCUCUUUCUGCUUUUCUCCUUUACUUAUGAGGUAAUUAACUAGAGUAAGCCUUUUAAACCCUGGUUAGAACUUACUGCUUAUCUUUGCUAAUAAAAAGAUUGGGAGGCCAUUUUUUUUUUUUCCUUAUUUCUGAAAAUGGCCUCGGGUAGAUACCUAAAAUCACUUCUUGAUUUUAAAAGCAAAUUGGCUUUUGAGGUUAGUUCCAUUGAAAUGCAGGAGUGGUAUGAGAAAUGGUGUUUGAUAAUUGCCCAAAUCUUAAUCAAGAUUUUAUUAAAAUCAAUAUUUGAUAUGCCGCUCAAUUUAAUUAAAUUAAACCACAGAGAAAUGAGUAAUAAAUGGGUUUGAAAAUCAAUCCCAGGAUAAGGUAUGUUUCUUUUAAUUAAUGGAACAUAUGAAAUGUUGGA
This is a long non-coding RNA of Chinchilla lanigera (long-tailed chinchilla), 1702 nucleotides long. RefSeq lists it as uncharacterized. The record is from RefSeq and is a predicted model, not a curated record. The transcript is spliced from 3 exons. NCBI's taxonomy places the organism in Eukaryota, Metazoa, Chordata, Mammalia, Rodentia, Chinchillidae.